This 356-nucleotide long non-coding RNA is filed under the name Homo sapiens (human). RNAcentral describes it as "HSALNT0311497". The record is from RNAcentral. Lineage: Eukaryota; Metazoa; Chordata; Mammalia; Primates; Hominidae.
CUAGCAGAACUGACCCAAAAGGACAGCAGCUCCUGCCUUUGUGUGGGGAGUGGAGCUUAUCCCAUGGGCAACAAUGAUUGGUUCUGGGAUGGCCACACACCCUAAGCCAGUCCAAUAAGAAUGAAUCUUGGGAAUUUCUGUGGACGCCCUGAGAUUUUUACUCUUUCCUACUGAGCUCAACCCUGAAGUUAGUCAUUCUGCAGCCAUCUAGCCUUCAACAUGGAGAGAGCCACAACAUGGAGUUCAAGAAUGGCAGAGCUGAGAGACCAAGAGAAAAUGAGUCCUGGUGGUACUCUCAGCCCUGGAGCAAUCUAGACCUGAAGCCAGAAAAAUACUCCUGACUUUUCCAGUGCUUG